RNAcentral lists this ribosomal RNA (232 nucleotides) under uncultured bacterium. RNAcentral describes it as "partial 16S ribosomal RNA". It matches the Rfam family "Bacterial small subunit ribosomal RNA", at positions 118 to 350 of the family's 1533-position model. The record is from RNAcentral.
UGGGCAACCUGCCCUCAGCUCUGGGAUAAACCCCGGGAAACCGGGGCUAAUACCGGAUACGACCUCCGCGGGCAUCUGCGGAGGUGGAAAGGUUUUCCGGCUGAGGAUGGGCCCGCGGCCUAUCAGCUAGUUGGUGGGGUGAUGGCCCACCAAGGCGACGACGGGUAGCCGGCCUGAGAGGGUGACCGGCCACACUGGGACUGAGACACGGCCCAGACUCCUACGGGAGGCA